This 253-nucleotide ribosomal RNA is filed under the name uncultured bacterium. RNAcentral describes it as "partial 16S ribosomal RNA". It matches the Rfam family "Bacterial small subunit ribosomal RNA", at positions 524 to 776 of the family's 1533-position model. The record is from RNAcentral.
GACGGAGGGUGCUAGCGUUGUUCGGAAUGACUGGGCGUAAAGGGCGCGUAGGCGGCCAUGUUAGUCGGGUGUGAAAGCCCGGGGCUCAACCCCGGAACGGCAUCCGAUACUGCGUGGCUCGAGACCGGGAGAGGAGGGUGGAAUACCGAGUGUAGAGGUGAAAUUCGUAGAUAUUCGGUGGAACACCAGUGGCGAAAGCGGCUCUCUGGCCCGGUACUGACGCUGAGGUGCGAAAGCGUGGGGAGCAAACAGG